This is a long non-coding RNA of Cotesia glomerata, 798 nucleotides long. RefSeq lists it as uncharacterized. Lineage: Eukaryota; Metazoa; Arthropoda; Insecta; Hymenoptera; Braconidae. The transcript has 2 exons. The record is from RefSeq and is a predicted model, not a curated record.
UAUUAAUAUUCUAAAUGUCAAAGUUUAUGAUUAUAUUUAUAAAUAAUCUUUGCUAAUUUUAUGUUGUCAUUAUGAAUCAGUUGAAAACAUUAAAAAAUUGAGGACUCUAGCACGUGGAUCAAUCAAGGAUAAAAAAAAUUUUUGAUAAAUAUUAAUAAAAAUAAAAAAAUUUUCUCGCUAUAAAUAUCAGAAAAUAUUAAUCUGAAGUUAGCUGAUGUAAUUUUUAACCCGCCUGUUGUUAAUUCAAUAAACUUGAAUUUUCAAAAAAAUAAACACUUGAAUAUACGCACAAUAAUAAAAAAAAAUUCGAGAAUCGAGAUUUAUUCGAUUCUCACAAGAUAAGAAAUCUUAUCUUGAUACAUUUUGACAGUUACAUAAAAAUCAAGUGUUAAACUGGAAUUUCUAAAUCUAAUUAAAAAAAAAUAACUAUUGGAGUUUAAAUAAUUAAUUUUAAUACUAUGAACAUUGUGAUAAUGGAUUGUGAUAUCGAUUGAUCGAACAUGGAACCAAUGUAUAAAAAAUUACACAUACAUAUCGGUAUAUUAUAGAUGUGCACAUACGUAAAGAGUAAGUUAAAGUAUUGGAAUCAUUGAAAUGGCAGGCAGGCAGGCAGUGAUUCUCAUAUUGUCACUUGAAUAUAUAUUAUGUAUUUAAUAGUUGUAUACACCUAUAUAUAUACAUAUUACAUGGUUACUGCUGAUGUAUACGCACUGUAGUAGAUACUGGUAAUAAUAUUAUUUUAUUUUAUUUAUUUAUCAGCUGUUAAAUAAACAAAAAUAAAUAUUACAAGUUUUUUAA